GAAAUGCGAUAAGUAAUGUGAAUUGCAGAAUUCAGUGAAUCAUCGAAUCUUUGAACGCACAUUGCGCCCCCUGGUAUUCCGGGGGGCAUGCCUGUUCGAGCGUCAUUUCACCACUCAAGCCUCGCUUGGUAUUGGGCAACGCGGUCCGCCGCGUGCCUUAAAUCGACCGGCUGGGUCUUCUGUCCCCUAAGCGUUGUGGAAACUAUUCGCUAAAGGAGGUUCGGGAGGCUACGCCGUAAAACAACCCCAUUUCUAAGGUUGACCUCGGAUCAGGUAGGGAUACCCGCUGAACUUAAGC
Molecule: unclassified non-coding RNA, 298 nt
Filed under: plant metagenome
Description: partial contains 5.8S ribosomal RNA, internal transcribed spacer 2, and large subunit ribosomal RNA
Rfam family: 5.8S ribosomal RNA (bases 1-105)
Source: RNAcentral